UUGACCUCAAAUCAGGUAGGACUACCCGCUGAACUUAAGCAUAUCAAUAAGCGGAGGAAAAGAAACUAACAAGGAUUCCCCUAGUAACUGCGAGUGAAGCGGGAAAAGCUCAAAUUUAAAAUCUGGCGGUCUUUGGCUGUCCGAGUUGUAAUCUAGAGAAGUGCUAUCCGCGCUCGACCGUGUCAAAAUUCUCCGUGAA
Molecule: ribosomal RNA, 199 nt
Filed under: Collybia mongolica
Lineage: Eukaryota; Fungi; Basidiomycota; Agaricomycetes; Agaricales; Clitocybaceae
Description: Leucocalocybe mongolica partial 28S ribosomal RNA
Rfam family: Eukaryotic large subunit ribosomal RNA
Source: RNAcentral